Natranaerobius trueperi is the source of this 148-nucleotide regulatory RNA element. It matches the Rfam family "Ribosomal protein L10 leader". From Rfam's summary of the family: This family is a putative r-protein leader autoregulatory structure found in B. subtilis and other low-GC Gram-positive bacteria. It is located in the 5' untranslated regions of mRNAs encoding ribosomal proteins L10 and L12 (rplJ-rplL). The record is from Rfam. NCBI's taxonomy places the organism in Bacteria, Bacillati, Bacillota, Clostridia, Natranaerobiales, Natranaerobiaceae.
AUAAAGUCCUUCGACUAACCGUAGACAGUAGGUGCCCUUUGGCUUAAAACCCUACCGAGGUUAGAGAAUUUUUUAGGUGAAGUGUAUUCACUAUACCUAUAUAAAAGUCUCUACCUGUCUUACGGUUGGAGACUUUUUUGUUUUAAAU